Molecule: ribosomal RNA, 477 nt
Filed under: uncultured Ferrovum sp.
Lineage: Bacteria; Pseudomonadati; Pseudomonadota; Betaproteobacteria; Ferrovales; Ferrovaceae
Description: bacterial SSU rRNA
Rfam family: Bacterial small subunit ribosomal RNA
Source: RNAcentral
CUUCGGGUUGUAAAGCUCUUUCGGGAGGGAAGAAAAGGUUCCGGCGAAUAUCCUGGAUUGAUGACGGUACCUCACUAAGAAGCACCGGCUAACUACGUGCCAGCAGCCGCGGUAAUACGUAGGGUGCGAGCGUUAAUCGGAAUUACUGGGCGUAAAGCGUGCGCAGGUGGUUUGUUAAGUCAGAUGUGAAAGCCCCGAGCUUAACUUGGGAACUGCGUUUGAAACUGGCAAGCUAGAGUCUGUCAGAGGGGGGUAGAAUUCCACGUGUAGCAGUGAAAUGCGUAGAGAUGUGGAGGAAUACCAAUGGCGAAGGCAGCCCCCUGGGACAAAACUGACGCUCAUGCACGAAAGCGUGGGGAGCAAACAGGAUUAGAUACCCUGGUAGUCCACGCCCUAAACGAUGUCAACUGGUUGUUGGGCAACUUGAUUGUUUUGUAACCAAGCUAACGCCAGAAGUUUACCCCCUGGGGAAUACGG